RNAcentral lists this ribosomal RNA (446 nucleotides) under uncultured bacterium. RNAcentral describes it as "bacterial SSU rRNA". It matches the Rfam family "Bacterial small subunit ribosomal RNA", at positions 331 to 792 of the family's 1533-position model. The record is from RNAcentral.
CCAGACUCCUACGGGAGGCAGCAGUGGGGAAUAUUGGGCAAUGGGCGCAAGCCUGACCCAGCAACGCCGCGUGAAGGAAGAAGGCUUUCGGGUUGUAAACUUCUUUUAAGAGGGAAGAGUAGAAGACGGUACCUCUUGAAUAAGCCACGGCUAACUACGUGCCAGCAGCCGCGGUAAUACGUAGGUGGCAAGCGUUGUCCGGAUUUACUGGGUGUAAAGGGCGUGUAGCCGGGCCGGCAAGUCAGAUGUGAAAUCCCAAGGCUCAACCUUGGAACUGCAUUUGAAACUGUUGGUCUUGAGUAUCGGAGAGGCAGGCGGAAUUCCUAGUGUAGCGGUGAAAUGCGUAGAUAUUAGGAGGAACACCAGUGGCGAAGGCGGCCUGCUGGACGACAACUGACGGUGAGGCGCGAAAGCGUGGGGAGCAAACAGGAUUAGAUACCCCAGUA